UGGGGGAUAUUGCACAAUGGGCGAAAGCCUGAUGCAGCGACGCCGCGUGGGGGAUGAAGGCCUUCGGGUUGUAAACUUCUUUUGCUCUGAACAAGGCAUGCUAAUGGGUGUGUUGAGUGUAGGGGUUGAUUAGCGCCGGCUAACUACGUGCCAGCAGCCGCGGUAAUACGUAGGGCGUGAGCGUUGUCCGGAAUUAUUGGGCGUAAAGGGCUUGUAGGUGGCUGGUUGCGUCUGUCGUGAAAGCUCAUGGCUUAACUGUGGGUUUGCGGUGGGUACGGGCUGGCUUGAGUGCAGUAGGGGAGGCUGGAAUUCCUGGUGUAGCGGUGGAAUGCGCAGAUAUCAGGAGGAAUACCGGUGGCGAAGGCGGGUCUCUGGGCUGUUACUGACACUGAGGAGCGAAAGCAUGGGGAGCGAACAGG
This 419-nucleotide ribosomal RNA is filed under the name bacterium. RNAcentral describes it as "partial 16S ribosomal RNA". It matches the Rfam family "Bacterial small subunit ribosomal RNA", at positions 355 to 776 of the family's 1533-position model. The record is from RNAcentral.